RNAcentral lists this ribosomal RNA (245 nucleotides) under uncultured bacterium. Its description in RNAcentral is "partial 16S ribosomal RNA". It matches the Rfam family "Bacterial small subunit ribosomal RNA", at positions 524 to 769 of the family's 1533-position model. The record is from RNAcentral.
UACGUAGGGUGCGAGCGUUAAUCGGAAUUACUGGGCGUAAAGCGUGCGCAGGCGGUAAUGUAAGACAGAUGUGAAAUCCCCGGGCUUAACCUGGGACCUGCAUUUGUGACUGCAUUGCUGGAGUGCGGCAGAGGGGGAUGGAAUUCCGCGUGUAGCAGUGAAAUGCGUAGAUAUGCGGAGGAACACCGAUGGCGAAGGCAAUCCCCUGGGCCUGCACUGACGCUCAUGCACGAAAGCGUGGGAGC